GGUGAACCUGCGGAGGGAUCAUUACCGAGUUUACAACUCCCAAACCCAAUGUGAACGUUACCAAACUGUUGCCUCGGCGGGAUCUCUGCCCCGGGUGCGUCGCAGCCCCGGACCAAGGCGCCCGCCGGAGGACCAACCAAAACUCUUUUUGUAUACCCCCUCGCGGGUUUUUUAUAAUCUGAGCCUUCUCGGCGCCUCUCGUAGGCGUUUCGAAAAUGAAUCAAAACUUUCAACAACGGAUCUCUUGGUUCUGGCAUCGAUGAAGAACGCAGCGAAAUGCGAUAAGUAAUGUGAAUUGCAGAAUUCAGUGAAUCAUCGAAUCUUUGAACGCACAUUGCGCCCGCCAGUAUUCUGGCGGGCAUGCCUGUCCGAGCGUCAUUUCAACCCUCGAACCCCUCCGGGGGGUCGGCGUUGGGGAUCGGCCCUGCCCUUUGGCGGUGGCCGUCUCCGAAAUACAGUGGCGGUCUCGCCGCAGCCUCUCCUGCGCAGUAGUUUGCACACUCGCAUCGGGAGCGCGGCGCGUCCACAGCCGUUAAACACCCAACUUCUGAAAUGUUGACCUCGGAUCAGGUAGGAAUACCCGCUGAACUUAAGCAUAUCAAU
This 603-nucleotide ribosomal RNA is filed under the name Trichoderma harzianum. Its description in RNAcentral is "eukaryotic LSU rRNA". The stretch from base 225 to 378 matches the Rfam family "5.8S ribosomal RNA". Lineage: Eukaryota; Fungi; Ascomycota; Sordariomycetes; Hypocreales; Hypocreaceae. The record is from RNAcentral.